UCGCCCAGGGAUGAGCCCGCGUCGGAUUAGCUAGUUGGUGAGGUAAAAGCUCACCAAGGCGACGAUCCGUAGCUGGUCUGAGAGGAUGAUCAGCCACACUGGGACUGAGACACGGCCCAG
Molecule: ribosomal RNA, 120 nt
Filed under: uncultured bacterium
Lineage: Bacteria
Description: partial 16S ribosomal RNA
Rfam family: Bacterial small subunit ribosomal RNA
Source: RNAcentral